Molecule: long non-coding RNA, 1559 nt
Filed under: Equus asinus (donkey)
Lineage: Eukaryota; Metazoa; Chordata; Mammalia; Perissodactyla; Equidae
Description: lncRNA (ENSEASG00005035456.1)
Source: RNAcentral
UCCCUGUGGCCUGCUGCCAAGUAUCUGACCCAGCCAGUGGAUGCGGCCAGGCAGCCCUAGAUUGACUCUAUUAAAAACUCCCGUAAGCCUUGCUGCGUCUGCCUCAGCAUGGCGGGAGGGAGGGACACCUUGGCUGUGGGUCUGUUCCCUCUCCUGUGAUUGCUGACCAGGAUCUCCCCGGGCUUGCCUUCCCUUCAGCCGCCCAGCGUGGUCUCACCAUCACCAUGCAGUAGACUCACUUGGGAGGCCUUUAGAAGUGCUGAUGCCAGGACCAAUUCAGUGGGAGCUUCUGGGGCUGGGAGGAGCAGCGUCCCAGUGAGAAGAGAGAAGGCUGCUCUGACAAAUCUGAACAUCUAGCUAUCUUCAGCCCUGCUGAGCUUGCGUGCGUUCUCCUAAACCUUGACAUCCCCCCACCCCCACCCAGGAUUCUCUGGAAAAUCAGAAUGCAGAGUUUUCAAUUAGAAAAGUCUUACUAGAGCAAGAGGCUAAAGGGAACUUUUAUGUGACACAGAAACACUCGGCUAUCUGGGCGUCUUUCAAGAGCUCCUUGCACAAUUACUUUCAAGGAUGGUAGGUUUUUUGCUUUGUUUUGUUUUUUGCUUUUUUUUUCUUAAAGAUUGGCCCUGAGCUAACAUCUGUUGCUAAUGUUUCUUUCUUCGUCUUCUCCCCAAAGUCCCCCAAUACAUAGUUGUUUAUUCUAGUUGUAGGACCUUCUGGCAGUGCUGUAUGGGACGCUGCCUCAGCAUGGCCUGAUGAGCGGAGCUAGGUCCACACCCAGGAUCUGAACCAGCAAAACCCUGGGCUGCAGAAGUGAAGCGCGUGAGCUUAACCACUCCGCCAUGGGCCAGGCCCCUCAAGGACCUGUUUUAAUGAAACAGGACUAGAUAUGACGAUUUCACACACGAUUUCAGACCAGAAAGGAAGACCAAUUCUUUGUUUUGGUUAUCGCUCUGUCUGAACUACUCUGUGAUGCGGAAGAGUGUUUGCAUUUGUUCUGCUGUGGGGAGAGGGAGGGAGCCCUGUCACCUUCGCUGAGCUUGCUCCCUGCAGCGGCAGUCAGGAGGCUGGCCCAGGCCAGGGACAGGAGCUGUGUGACGGAGGGAAGGCAGGUGCUGUGGGUGGGGUGGACAUGAGUGCGAGGCACAGGGCUGGGAUGGCAGGAGUGUUCAGAGGAGGGCACCGAGCGAGGGGCUGGGAUUUAGGGUGUAGGGUGGAUAUGGGCUUAGGGGAGGAUGAGCCUGGCUGGAGUAGCCUGUGAAGUGUCCAGAUGCCACGCUAAGCAGCACUGUGUAGGUGGGGGUUUCUGCCUCUGGAAAGACCCUCAGGCUGCAGUGUAGAGAGUGGCCAGCACAGCUCCGGAGCCAGCGGGGAGGCCAGGGCAGAGGCUGUUAUGUGGGCCUGAGCUGAGACGGGGGCUGCCAGGCUGGAGGACUUGCCAAGGGUGGGGCUUUCCUCUUGGGAGGUAGUCAGCGACACAGGUCAAUGUCCGUGGACCGGGCCAUGUGAUGCAGACACCCCGAAUCUUGUCCACCCUCCCUGGGCUGUUGCCUGCUUCAGUG